This 459-nucleotide ribosomal RNA is filed under the name Tausonia pullulans. Its description in RNAcentral is "eukaryotic LSU rRNA". It matches the Rfam family "Eukaryotic large subunit ribosomal RNA", at positions 99 to 561 of the family's 3401-position model. Lineage: Eukaryota; Fungi; Basidiomycota; Tremellomycetes; Cystofilobasidiales; Mrakiaceae. The record is from RNAcentral.
CGGGAUGAGCUCAAAUUUAAAAUCUGGCGGUCUCAGAUCGUCCGAGUUGUAGUCUAGAGAAGCGUUUUCCGUGCUGGCCUGUGUACAAGUCCGUUGGAACACGGCGUCAUAGAGGGUGAGAAUCCCGUCCUUGACACAGAUCUCCAGUGCUUUGUGAUGCGCUCUCAAAGAGUCGAGUUGUUUGGGAAUGCAGCUCAAAAUGGGUGGUAAAUUCCAUCUAAAGCUAAAUAUUGGCGAGAAACCGAUAGCGAACAAGUACCGUGAGGGAAAGAUGAAAAGCACUUUGGAAAGAGAGUUAAACAGUACGUGAAAUUGUUGAAAGGGAAACGAUUGAAGUCAGUCAUGCUUUCCGAGACUCAGCCGGUUCUGCCGGUGUACUUCUCGGUUUGCAGGCCAGCAUCAGUUUUGGGCGGUGGAAAAGGUUGGCGGGAAUGUGGCAUCCUCGGAUGUGUUAUAGCC